UACGUAGGUGGCAAGCGUUAAUCGGAAUUACUGGGCGUAAAGCGCACGCAGGCGGUUUGUUAAGUCAGAUGUGAAAUCCCCGGGCUCAACCUGGGAACUGCAUCUGAUACUGGCAAGCUUGAGUCUCGUAGAGGGGGGUAGAAUUCCAGGUGUAGCGGUGAAAUGCGUAGAGAUCUGGAGGAAUACCGGUGGCGAAGGCGGCCCCCUGGACGAAGACUGACGCUCAGGUGCGAAAGCGUGGGGAGCAAACAGG
This 253-nucleotide ribosomal RNA is filed under the name uncultured bacterium. RNAcentral's name for it is "partial 16S ribosomal RNA". It matches the Rfam family "Bacterial small subunit ribosomal RNA", at positions 524 to 776 of the family's 1533-position model. The record is from RNAcentral.